GUGCUCACUUUGGCAGCAUAUAUACUCAAAAUUGGAAUGAUACAGAGGAUUAGCAUGGCCUCUGUACAAGGAUAACAUGCAAAUUCGUGAAGUGUUCCAUAAAAAA
RNAcentral lists this small nuclear RNA (106 nucleotides) under Microcebus murinus (gray mouse lemur). The record is from RNAcentral. Lineage: Eukaryota; Metazoa; Chordata; Mammalia; Primates; Cheirogaleidae.